This 253-nucleotide ribosomal RNA is filed under the name uncultured bacterium. RNAcentral's name for it is "partial 16S ribosomal RNA". It matches the Rfam family "Bacterial small subunit ribosomal RNA", at positions 524 to 776 of the family's 1533-position model. The record is from RNAcentral.
UACGGGGGGGGCAAGCGUUGUUCGGAAUUACUGGGCGUAAAGGGCUCGUAGGCGGCCAACUAAGUCCGACGUGAAAUCCCAAGGCUUAACCUUGGAACUGCGUCGGAUACUGGAUGGCUUGAAUUCGGGAGAGGGAUGCAGAAUUCCAGGUGUAGCGGUGAAAUGCGUAGAUAUCGGGAGGAACACCAGUGGCGAAGGCGACUACCUGGCCCACUCUUGACGCUGAGGCGCGAAAGCUAGGGGAGCGAACGGG